Molecule: ribosomal RNA, 253 nt
Filed under: uncultured bacterium
Lineage: Bacteria
Description: partial 16S ribosomal RNA
Rfam family: Bacterial small subunit ribosomal RNA
Source: RNAcentral
UACGAAGGGGGCUAGCGUUGCUCGGAAUUACUGGGCGUAAAGAGUGUGUAGGCGGUGCUCUAAGUUCGGUGUGAAAUCUCCUGGCUCAACCGGGAGGGUGCGCCGAAAACUGGAAUGCUAGAGUAUGGGAGAGGUAAGCGGAAUUCCUGGUGUAGCGGUGAAAUGCGUAGAUAUCAGGAGGAACACCUGUGGUGUAGACAGCUUACUGGACCAUCACUGACGCUGAGACACGAAAGCGUGGGUAGCAAACAGG